UGACGGCCAGUGUCUGAGGCUCGCUGCAAUCGCGUGUCGCCCUUAGAGUUUGAUCCUGGCUCAGGACGAACGCUGGCGGCGCGCCUAACACAUGCAAGUCGAGCGAGAACCAGGGCUUCGGCCCUGGGGACAGCGGCGAACGGGUGAGUAACACGUGGAUAACCUGCCCUCGGCACCGGAAUAGCCCGGGGAAACCCGGAUUAAUGCCGGAUAGCCCCACAUCCCUGCGGGGAACGUGGGAAAAGGUAGCUUCGGCCUCUGGCCGAGGAUGGGUCCGCGGUGGAUUAGCUUGUUGGCGGGGUAACGGCCCACCAAGGCGACGAUCCAUAGCUGGUCUGAGAGGACGAUCAGCCACACUGGGACUGAGACACGGCCCAGACUCCUACGGGAGGCAGCAGUGGGGAAUCUUGCGCAAUGGGCGAAAGCCUGACGCAGCGACGCCGCGUGCGGGAAGAAGGCCUUCGGGUUGUAAACCGCUUUCAGGAGGGACGAAGCCACUCGGGUGAAUAGCCCAGAGGGUGACGGUACCUCCAGAAGAAGCCCCGGCUAACUACGUGCCAGCAGCCGCGGUAAUACGUAGGGGGCAAGCGUUGUCCGGAUUCAUUGGGCGUAAAGAGCGUGUAGGCGGCCAGGUAGGUCGGUUGUGAAAACUGGAGGCUCAACCUUCAGACGUCGACCGAAACCAUCUGGCUAGAGUCCGGGAGAGGAGAGUGGAAUUCCAGGUGUAGUGGUGAAAUACGUAGAUAUCUGGAAGAACACCAGUUGCGAAGGCGGUCUCUUGGUCCGUUACUGACGCUCAGGCGCGAAAGCGUGGGUAGCAAACAGGAUUAGAUACCCUGGUAGUCCACGCUGUAAACGAUGAAUACUAGGUGUUGGGCCGUAAGGUUCAGUGCCGCAGCUAACGCAUUAAGUAUUCCACCUGGGGAGUACGAUCGCAAGGUUGAAACUCAAAGGAAUUGACGGGGGCCCGCACAAGCAGUGGAGCAUGUGGUUUAAUUCGAUGCAACGCGAAGAACCUUACCUAGGCUUGAAAUGCAAGUGACCGGCUGUGAAAGCAGCCUUCCCUUCGGGGCACUUGUACAGGUGCUGCAUGGCUGUCGUCAGCUCGUGCCGUGAGGUGUUGGGUUAAGUCCCGCAACGAGCGCAACCCUUGUCAUUAGUUGCUACAUUCAGUUGGGCACUCUAAUGAGACUGCCGGUGACAAACCGGAGAAAGGUGGGGAUGACGUCAAGUCCUCAUGGCCCUUAUAGGUGGGGCUACACACGUCAUACAAUGGCCGGUACAAAGGGUCGCAAACCCGCGAGGGGGAGCCAAUCCAUCAAAGCCGGUCGUAGUCCGGAUCGCAGUCUGCAACUCGACUGCGUGAAGUCGGAAUCGCUAGUAAUCGUGGAUCAGCAUGUCACGGUGAAUACGUUCCCGGGUCUUGUACACACCGCCCGUCACACCAUGGGAGCGGGUCUCGCCAGAAGUAGUUAGCCUAACCGCAAGGAGGGCGAUUACCACGGCGGGGUUCGUGACUGGGGUGAAGUCGUAACAAGGUAACCAAGGGCGACACGCGAUGCAGUCAAUACUGAG
RNAcentral lists this ribosomal RNA (1575 nucleotides) under uncultured bacterium. RNAcentral's name for it is "bacterial SSU rRNA". It matches the Rfam family "Bacterial small subunit ribosomal RNA". The record is from RNAcentral.